RNAcentral lists this long non-coding RNA (932 nucleotides) under Homo sapiens (human). RNAcentral describes it as "small nucleolar RNA host gene 17, transcript variant 17 (SNHG17)". The record is from RNAcentral. Lineage: Eukaryota; Metazoa; Chordata; Mammalia; Primates; Hominidae.
AGUCCUUCGCCGUCCCUCGCCGUCCUUCGCCAUCGCACGCCACCGCACCCCAUCUCUCGAAAUCUGCAGACAUCUUGAUUUUUCCCACGCUGUCUGUCAGGUCUCCGCCGCCACUCGACGCCAGGGCGCCGGGCCUUGUGGGCUGUGCUGCACCUCGGACGGCUUCGCACCAGCCAGCGCCCUCUCUCUCCUGCAGCACUCUGAUCUGCACCCCCUGAGGGGCUUCCACUGUCCGCGGGGUGAGAAUGCCCCUGGGAGUGUCACAUGACUGCCGCCCCAUGUGUGUGAGAGGCGUCCUCUGGGAGAGCAUGGAUCCUGAGGUCCCAGGAUUGUCAGCUGACCUCUGUCCUGUGUGCCCAGUGGCCCCAGGUGACGUGUCUUCAAGAAGAGGCUGAGCUGCGGUGCUUGUAAGGGUCUCAUUCUGUCACCCAGGCUGGAGUGCAGUGGUGCAAUGAUGGCUCACUGCAGCCUCGACCUGGGCUCAAGUGAUCCUCCACCUCAGCUUCCUGAGUAGCUGGGACCACAGGUCUCAGCCUUAGAUCCAAGGACAGUCCAAGGAAGUCCUAAGACCAUGGAGUUGGUGAUCUGGGAUCUGGGUUUGCUGAUAUUUCUCACCGUGAAUCUCUUGGUGGUGUUUGUGGGCACGAGAGGGGCAGAGAAUGGAGAGUGAGGCUACCACAUGAAGCGUCACCAGAGCUGCUCCCUGCUGCCUGCUCAGAGCACCCCGGAUCCACUGUUCAAUCUGCACAAGAUUCGGGGUCCAGACAUGGGAGACUUCAGCUGCCUCAGAGGACCGUGGACAGGGAAGGCCAGCCUCGCAUCCCUCUGUCCAUGCCUGGAAUGACUUUAAUAACCAAGAGUUUUAUUUUUGAAUUUGUAGCUGUCGUUCACUUUUUACCCACCCAUUCAAUAAACCUUACAGAAUUGCUCCA